AUUGAACGCUGGCGGCAUGCUUUACACAUGCAAGUAGAACGGCGGCGCGGGCUUCGUCCUGGCGGCGAGUGGCGAACGAGUGAGUAAUUAAUCGGAACGUGCCCAGUAGUGGGGGGUAGCUCGGCGAAAGGCGGAUUAAUACAGCAUACCACCUGAAGGGGAAAGAGAGGGAUCUUCUGAGCUCGCGCCAUUGGAGCCGCCGCGGGCUGAUUAGCCAUUGGAUGGGGUAGAGGCCUACCAAGGCGACCAUCUGUAGCUGGUCUGAGAGGAGGACCAGCCACACUGGACCUGAGACACGGCCCGGACUCCUACGGGAGGCAGCAGUGGGGAAUUUUGGACAUGGGGCGAAAGCCUGACCAAGCAAUGCCGGGUGGGUGAUGAAGGCUUUCGGGUUUUAAAGCACGUUGGGCGGGAACGAAAAGUACUGUGCCAAUACCACGGUUCGAUGACGGUACCCGAAGAAUAAGCACCGGCUAACUACGUG
RNAcentral lists this ribosomal RNA (484 nucleotides) under uncultured bacterium. RNAcentral describes it as "partial 16S ribosomal RNA". It matches the Rfam family "Bacterial small subunit ribosomal RNA", at positions 29 to 507 of the family's 1533-position model. The record is from RNAcentral.